This 447-nucleotide unclassified non-coding RNA is filed under the name Hevea brasiliensis (rubber tree). Lineage: Eukaryota; Viridiplantae; Streptophyta; Magnoliopsida; Malpighiales; Euphorbiaceae. The record is from RNAcentral.
AAUAGGCAAAACACCUCUUUAAAUCUGAAGGGAGAUGGUAAUAGCUUAAUCUUAACACUGGAAGAAUGUCACUUUCAUCAUCUGAUAAAUUCCAUAUGGCACUAUUCAAAAUAGCUUGCCACUCAUCUUCCCUCGUCUUAGUUCGUAAAAGGCCACCAAGAGUUCGUGCUGCCAGGGGCAAACCUCCACAUUUCUUCACAAUUUUUCUUCCAAUGAUCUCUAGAAUUGGAUAUGCACUGAUGUUUUUAUUCUCAAAUGCAUGUUGUGCAAACAGUGACCAACAAUCAUCCUCUGAUAUAAUCUCCAAGGAGUGGUAUCCUUUAGUUCCCGUCAUUAAAGCCACAUUUGUGUUACGUGUUGUCAGUAUAACCUUGCUUCCUGGUGCUCCACCUCGAAAUGUCGAUCGAAGUGCAUCCCAAUCACCAUAAUUCUUGUUCCAAACAUCAU